UACGAAGGGUGCAAGCGUUAAUCGGAAUUACUGGGCGUAAAGCGCGCGUAGGUGGUUUUGUAAGUUGGAGGUGAAAUCCCCGGGCUCAACCUGGGGACUGCCUCCAAAACUGCAUGACUCGAGUACGGUAGAGGGUGGUGGAAUUUCCUGUGUAGCGGUGAAAUGCGUAGAUAUAGGAAGGAACAUCAGUGGCGAAGGCGACCACCUGGACUGAUACUGACACUGAGGUGCGAAAGCGUGGGGAGCAAACAGG
Molecule: ribosomal RNA, 253 nt
Filed under: uncultured bacterium
Lineage: Bacteria
Description: partial 16S ribosomal RNA
Rfam family: Bacterial small subunit ribosomal RNA
Source: RNAcentral